UGGGGAAUAUUGGACAAUGGGCGCAAGCCUGAUCCAGCCAUGCCGCGUGUGUGAAGAAGGCCUUCGGGUUGUAAAGCACUUUUGUUGGGGAAGAAAAGACCGUGGUUAAUAACCGUGGUUCAUGACGGUACCCAAAGAAUAAGCACCGGCUAACUUCGUGCCAGCAGCCGCGGUAAUACGAAGGGUGCAAGCGUUACUCGGAAUUACUGGGCGUAAAGCGUGCGUAGGCGGUUUGUUAAGUCUGUCGUGAAAGCCCCGGGCUCAACCUGGGAAUGGCGGUGGAUACUGGCAGGCUAGAGUACGGUAGAGGAUGGUGGAAUUCCCGGUGUAGCAGUGAAAUGCGUAGAGAUCGGGAGGAACAUCUAUGGCGAAGGCAGCCAUCUGGACCAGUACUGACGCUGAGGCACGAAAGCGUGGGGAGCAAACAGG
Molecule: ribosomal RNA, 429 nt
Filed under: uncultured Lysobacteraceae bacterium
Lineage: Bacteria; Pseudomonadati; Pseudomonadota; Gammaproteobacteria; Lysobacterales; Lysobacteraceae
Description: bacterial SSU rRNA
Rfam family: Bacterial small subunit ribosomal RNA
Source: RNAcentral